Molecule: ribosomal RNA, 497 nt
Filed under: uncultured bacterium
Lineage: Bacteria
Description: partial 16S ribosomal RNA
Rfam family: Bacterial small subunit ribosomal RNA
Source: RNAcentral
GAUGAACGCUGGCGGCGUGCCUAAUACAUGCAAGUCGAGCGAACAGACGAGGAGCUUGCUCCUCUGACGUUAGCGGCGGACGGGUCAGUAACACGUGGAUAACCUACCUAUAAGACUGGGAUAACUUCGGGAAACCGGAGCUAAUACCGGAUAAUAUAUUGAACCGCAUGGUUCAAUAGUGAAAGACGGUUUUGCUGUCACUUAUAGAUGGAUCCGCGCCGCAUUAGCUAGUUGGUAAGGUAACGGCUUACCAAGGCGACGAUGCGUAGCCGACCUGAGAGGGUGAUCGGCCACACUGGAACUGAGACACGGUCCAGACUCCUACGGGAGGCAGCAGUAGGGAAUCUUCCGCAAUGGGCGAAAGCCUGACGGAGCAACGCCGCGUGAGUGAUGAAGGUCUUCGGAUCGUAAAACUCUGUUAUUAGGGAAGAACAAAUGUGUAAGUAACUAUGCACGUCUUGACGGUACCUAAUCAGAAAGCCACGGCUAACUACGUG